CGGUGGUGUGAUAUGCCGCUAGCCAAUCCAUCCCUAAAAUUACAUCAAAAUCCCUCGUGCCUAAUUCUAUUAGGUCUACACUCAGUUUCCUAUUUGCUAUCUCUACAGCACACGCCCUGUAGAUAACUUCUCCUAAUAGUGUUACACUCCCAGUAGUAUAUACAAAUAACAUUGAAUCAAGUUUAUCAGGUAAUACAUUAAUUUUGGAUGCAAAAAUAGGUGAAACAAAUGAAUGCGAUGCACUAGUAUCAAACAAAACAUGAGCAAGAUGGUUACAAAUAGUGUAACUGUGCCUCCCUGCUGACUGAGGGAGUGUGUGGAGGCUCCUCUCCACUAAUUGUGUCUUGUCCAGAACGGUUGAGUAUGUCUUGAGCUCCAGUACAAAUAGGUGUUGCUUGAUCUCUGGGCGGAGGCCCCACUGAAACCUCCUAGCCUUCCUGCCCUCAUCCGUCAACGUCUCAGGGGAGUAUCGGCCCAACCCAAGAACUUACAGGCAUAUUCUGACACCGUCAUGUUCCCCUGGACUAACUGGACAAACUCCAUCUCCUUAAGAUGUUGGAUGUGCUCUGAGAGUUACUCUGCAUGGAAGGCUGCUAAGAACUGUUUCUAAGUGACUGGAACAGGCAGGGUGGUCUGCUUGAGUUCCCACCAACGGUCUGCUUCUCCCACCAGCAUAUUAGUAGCAAGGGUGACCCUCUGCUCGGGAGUCACUCCUAGGGUCUUGAAGGCCUUCUUCGUCUCCGUCAACUAAUACUGGGCAUCUUCAAAUGAGGAUUCCCUUGCAAAAGUGGAUGGGUUCAGUCUCCUGUACCUCUCUACAUAACCUGGGUCAAUCAUGGAAGGAGCUGGGUCCUGCGGAAGAGGGACUCGGCAAAGCUGAGGAUAGACUUAGGGACCCUGUGGUGGUACUUGCUGAUAUGGUGGGGGCACCGAAUUAUACUGUGGCGGUGUCGGGUAGUACUGUGGCUGGGGCAUCGAAUUAUACUGUGGCGGUGGUACCGGGU
This 1004-nucleotide long non-coding RNA is filed under the name Carica papaya (papaya). RNAcentral's name for it is "long non-coding RNA (CPAP_LNC016477)". The record is from RNAcentral. Lineage: Eukaryota; Viridiplantae; Streptophyta; Magnoliopsida; Brassicales; Caricaceae.